This is a long non-coding RNA of Phyllopteryx taeniolatus (common seadragon), 2812 nucleotides long. RefSeq lists it as uncharacterized. The transcript has 3 exons. The record is from RefSeq and is a predicted model, not a curated record. Lineage: Eukaryota; Metazoa; Chordata; Actinopteri; Syngnathiformes; Syngnathidae.
UACACUCAUUGACUAUGUAGUAACAGAGUGCAAAAUAAUUACAGUGCUCCAAAAAUAUUAUGCUUAUAGGAUUUUCCUUUCAUAAACAUUUGAGUUUGAGGUUUUCUGGGGAAGUUUUAACAUCCAGUUGUUUCUCCUGUCUGUUGUCUAUGAUCUACAGUGGGGCAAAAUUGUGCAAGUUCACCCACUUAAAAAGAUGAGAGAGGCCUGUAAUUGUCAUCAUCGGUAUACCACACCUAUGACAGACAAAAUGAGAAAAUAAAAAUCCAGAAAAUCACAUUGUCUGAUUUUUUUAAAGAAUCUAUUAGCAAAUUAUGGUGGAAAAUAAGUAUUUGGUCACCUACAAAAAAGCAAUAUUUGGCUCUCACAGACCUGUAACUUCUUCUUUAAGAGGCUCCUCUGUCCUCCACUAGUUACCUAUAUUAAUGGCACCUAUUUGAACUCGUUAUCCGUAUAAAAGACACCUGUCCACAACCUCAAACAGUCACACCCCAAACUCCACUAUGGCCAAGACCAAAGAGCUGACAAAGGACACCAGAAACAAAAUUGUGGACCUGAACCAGGUUGGGAAGACUGAAUCUGCAAUAGGUAAGCAGCUUGGUUUGAAGAAAUCAACUGUGGGAGCAAUUAUUAGAAAAUGGAAGACAUACAAGACCACUGAUAAUCUCCCUCGAUCUGGGGCGCCACGCAAGAUCUCACACCGUGGGGUCAAAAUGAUCACAAGAACGGUGAGCAAAAAUACCAGAACCACACGGGGAGACCUAGUGAAUGACCUGCAGAGAGCUGGGACCAAAGUAACAAAGGCUACCACCAGUAGCACACUACGCCGCCAGGGACUCAAAUCAUGCAGUGCCAGACGUGUCCACCUGCUUAAGCCAGUACAUGCCAGGCCCGCCUGAAGUUUGCUCUUGGAUGAUCCAGAAAAGGAUUGGGAGAAUGUCAUAUGGUCAGAUGAAACCAAAAUAGAACUUUUUGGUAAAAAACUCAGCAUGUUGUGUUUGGAGGAGAAGGAAUGCUGAGUUGCAUCCAAAGAACACCAUACCUACUGUGAAGUCUGGUUGGGGGGGAUGACGACAUCAUGCAUUGGGGCUGUUUUUCUGCAAAGGGAUCAGGACAACUGAUCCGUGUAAAAGAAAGAAUGAAUGGAAGCAUGGCUCGUGAGAUUUUGAGUAAAAACCUCCUUCCACCAGAAAGGGCAUUGAAAAUGAAACAUGGCCGGGUCUUUCAGCAUGACAAUGAUCCCAAACACACCGCCCGGGCAACAAAGGAGUGGCUUCGUAAGAAAAAAUUUCAAGCUCCUGGAGUGACCUAGCCAGUCUCCAGAUCCCAAUCCCAUAGAAAAUCUUUGGAGGGAGUCGAAAGUCUGUGUUGCCCAGCAAUAGCCCCGAAACAUCACUGCUCUAGAGGAGAUCUGCAUGGAGGAAUGGGCCAAAAUACCAGCAACGCUGUGUGAAAACCUUGUGAAGACUUACAGAAAAUGUUUGACCUCUGUCAUUGCCAACAAAGGGUAUAGAGCAAAGUAUUGAAUUAACUUUUGUUAUGAACCAAAUACUUAUUUUCCAACAUAAUUUGCUCAUAAAUUCUUUAAAAAUCAAAUGUGAUUUUCUGGAUUUUCUUUUUUUUCCCCUUGUCAUUUUGUCUCUAAUAGGUGAGAUAUACCUAUGAUGAAAAUUACAGGCCUCGCUCAUCUUUUUAAGUGGGAGAACUUGCACAAUUGUUGGCUGACUAAAUACUUUGUUGCCCCACUGUAAAUCUUGGAUAAGUUUGAUAAUCAUUUUCCCUGCUGAAAUGGAAAUUACUGAAGGAAUAUGUUCCACAUGAUUAAGCAAGUCACAGUAUUUACAGUAGUGAUGCACUGAAAUGAAAAUUCUUGACCAAAAACGAAAAUGUCGAAUGUCGAAACACCGGAAGAAAUUAUCAAUCAAAAACUUUAUUUGUAAGCACUUUUCAUACAAAGAAAUUGCAACACAAACUUUAAAAUAUAAAAAUAAAUCAAGCCCACCAAUUAUUAACUCAUUUAGUGCCACGGACGUAUUAAUACGUUUUCAUGAACCCAUCCGUUUAGUGCCACGGGCGUAUUAAUACGUUUUCAGUGUUAUUUUUAAUCAUAUCAUAAUAGAGGGUUUGGCGCAGCUCCACAUGUAUCUAAGGGUUGGGAAGGAUUUUAGUAUGUUAAAUCGACACCAGAGGGCAGCAGUAGCUUUGAUCAGAAUUUUGUCAAAACGUCAGAGGAAAACUGUAUCCCUCUGAUUAUAUUACUAUGACUGUGACUAUAUCUGACAGUGGAGCGUUGCAGGGGUGUGGUUGAGAGAGAGAGAGAGAGAGAGAGAGAGAGAGAGACAUGGUGAGCCAGUUAGAGCAAAAAACAAUGGAUGAAUACAGACGGUUUACUCUAAAACAGAGUUUUGCUAACAUCAAAAAGGAUUAUGUACCAUCAUCAUUCUUUUCCCAAAAAAGAACGAGAUGACGCUAUGACAAUGAACAUAGUGUAACGCUGGUCGCGUCGAGCUUUCGAAGGCCCGCGGUAAGAUCGCUACCAUAUCCCGAUCCACUUCCCCCAAAACGAGGACUGCCAUCGGACGUCCGGAAUCAGAUUACAAUGAGCCUGAUCCGGGUUAACAUCUGGGAGUAGCAGGGCGUCCUUCAUAAGCCCGCAGGAAGUCACCGACGAGUUGGUGCAACCAGCAGCAGAUGCACUCCCACACCUGUUGGCAAGAAAAGGAGGUGCAUCAAGCAGUGGUGGGGCUGUUCAUGGCUGGUCGUCUGCUGACUGGGAACCCUCAAAAGUCCCACACGCACGUACCCAAACAUG